RNAcentral lists this transfer RNA (85 nucleotides) under Methanoculleus sp. SDB. Its description in RNAcentral is "tRNA-Leu". It matches the Rfam family "tRNA". Rfam says of the family: Transfer RNA (tRNA) molecules are approximately 80 nucleotides in length. Their secondary structure includes four short double-helical elements and three loops (D, anti-codon, and T loops). The record is from RNAcentral. RNAcentral also lists the same sequence under 3 other names. Lineage: Archaea; Methanobacteriati; Methanobacteriota; Methanomicrobia; Methanomicrobiales; Methanomicrobiaceae.
GCGAGGGUUGCUGAGCCUGGCCAAAGGCGCCGGACUUAAGAUCCGGUCCCGCAGGGGUCCGUGGGUUCGAAUCCCACCCCUCGCA